CCCUUAGAUGUCCUGGGCUGCACGCGCGCUACACUGAUGUGUCCAGUAAGCACCUAACCUCUUCCGAAAGGAACGGGUAACCUUUGCAAAGCACAUCGUGAUGGGGAUAGAUUAUUGCAAUUAUUAGUCUUGAACGAGGAAUUCCUAGUAAGCACAAGUCAUCAGCUUGUGUUGAUUACGUCCCUGCCCUUUGUACACACCGCCCGUCGCUCCUACCGUUUGAAUGUUCCGGUGAGCUCUUCGGACUGCGCGGUCUGCAGUUUCUGCGUUCCGUGCGGAAAGUUGCGCAAACCUUAACAUUUAGAGGAAGGAGAAGUCGUAACA
This 324-nucleotide ribosomal RNA is filed under the name uncultured eukaryote. RNAcentral describes it as "partial 18S ribosomal RNA". It matches the Rfam family "Eukaryotic small subunit ribosomal RNA", at positions 1470 to 1796 of the family's 1831-position model. The record is from RNAcentral.